GGGUUGUGAGGUUAAGCGACUAAGCGUACACGGUGGAUGCCCUGGCAGUCAGAGGCGAUGAAGGGCGUGCUAAUCUGCGAUAAGCGCCGGUAAGGUGAUAUGAACCGUUAUAACCGGCGAUACCCGAAUGGGGAAACCCAGUGUGACUCGUCACACUAUCAUUAACUGAAUCCAUAGGUUAAUGAGGCGAACCGGGGGAACUGAAACAUCUAAGUACCCCGAGGAAAAGAAAUCAACCGAGAUUCCCCCAGUAGCGGCGAGCGAACGGGGAGGAGCCCAGAGCCUGAAUCAGCAUGUGUGUUAGUGGAAGCGUCUGGAAAGGCGCGCGAUACAGGGUGACAGCCCCGUACACAAAAGCGCAUGUGCUGUGAGCUCGAUGAGUAGGGCGGGACACGUGGUAUCCUGUCUGAAUAUGGGGGGACCAUCCUCCAAGGCUAAAUACUCCUGACUGACCGAUAGUGAACCAGUACCGUGAGGGAAAGGCGAAAAGAACCCCGGCGAGGGGAGUGAAAAAGAACCUGAAACCGUGUACGUACAAGCAGUGGGAGCACAGGUUUACCUGUGUGACUGCGUACCUUUUGUAUAAUGGGUCAGCGACUUAUAUUCUGUAGCAAGGUUAACCGUAUAGGGGAGCCGAAGGGAAACCGAGUCUUAACCGGGCGUUAAGUUGCAGGGUAUAGACCCGAAACCCGGUGAUCUAGCCAUGGGCAGGUUGAAGGUUGGGUAACACUAACUGGAGGACCGAACCGACUAAUGUUGAAAAAUUAGCGGAUGACCUGUGGCUGGGGGUGAAAGGCCAAUCAAACCGGGAGAUAGCUGGUUCUCCCCGAAAGCUAUUUAGGUAGCGCCUCGUGAAUUCAUCUCCGGGGGUAGAGCACUGUUUCGGCUAGGGGGCCAUCCCGGCUUACCAACCCGAUGCAAACUGCGAAUACCGGAGAAUGUUAUCACGGGAGACACACGGCGGGUGCUAACGUCCGUCGUGAAGAGGGAAACAACCCAGACCGCCAGCUAAGGUCCCAAAGUCAUGGUUAAGUGGGAAACGAUGUGGGAAGGCCCAGACAGCCAGGAUGUUGGCUUAGAAGCAGCCAUCAUUUAAAGAAAGCGUAAUAGCUCACUGGUCGAGUCGGCCUGCGCGGAAGAUGUAACGGGGCUAAACCAUGCACCGAAGCUGCGGCAGCGACAUUUAGGUGUUGUUGGGUAGGGGAGCGUUCUGUAAGCCUGUGAAGGUGGCCUGUGAGGGUUGCUGGAGGUAUCAGAAGUGCGAAUGCUGACAUAAGUAACGAUAAAGCGGGUGAAAAGCCCGCUCGCCGGAAGACCAAGGGUUCCUGUCCAACGUUAAUCGGGGCAGGGUGAGUCGACCCCUAAGGCGAGGCCGAAAGGCGUAGUCGAUGGGAAACGGGUUAAUAUUCCCGUACUUGGUGUUACUGCGAAGGGGGGACGGAGAAGGCUAUGUUGGCCGGGCGACGGUUGUCCCGGUUUAAGCGUGUAGGUGUGUGUUCCAGGUAAAUCCGGUU
This 1514-nucleotide ribosomal RNA is filed under the name Salmonella enterica subsp. enterica. RNAcentral describes it as "partial 23S ribosomal RNA". It matches the Rfam family "Bacterial large subunit ribosomal RNA", at positions 1 to 1547 of the family's 2925-position model. The record is from RNAcentral. Lineage: Bacteria; Pseudomonadati; Pseudomonadota; Gammaproteobacteria; Enterobacterales; Enterobacteriaceae.